RNAcentral lists this ribosomal RNA (492 nucleotides) under uncultured bacterium. Its description in RNAcentral is "partial 16S ribosomal RNA". It matches the Rfam family "Bacterial small subunit ribosomal RNA", at positions 29 to 507 of the family's 1533-position model. The record is from RNAcentral.
AGUGAACGCUGGCGGUAGGCCUAACACAUGCAAGUCGAACGGCAGCACAGUAAGAGCUUGCUCUUACGGGUGGCGAGUGGCGGACGGGUGAGGAAUACAUCGGAAUCUACUUUUUCGUGGGGGAUAACGUAGGGAAACUUACGCUAAUACCGCAUACGACCUACGGGUGAAAGCAGGGGAUCUUCGGACCUUGCGCGAUUGAAUGAGCCGAUGUCGGAUUAGCUAGUUGGCGGGGUAAAGGCCCACCAAGGCGACGAUCCGUAGCUGGUCUGAGAGGAUGAUCAGCCACACUGGAACUUAGACACGGUCCAGACUCCUACGGGAGGCAGCAGUGGGGAAUAUUGGACAAUGGGCGCAAGCCUGAUCCAGCCAUACCGCGUGGGUGAAGAAGGCCUUCGGGUUGUAAAGCCCUUUUGUUUGGAAAGAAAAGCAGCCGGUUUAUACCCCGCUGUUCUGACGGUACCCAAAGAAUAAGCACCGGCUAACUUCGUG